GUUUGAGAGAAGGGAUGACACAGUAGGAUAAGCUAAGCACACUGUUGGUUAUGUGUGCCCAAGCAUUGAGGCAGUCAAAGUAGGCAAAUCCGCUUUGAUAAUGCUGGGGUGUGAUGGGGAGCGAAAUGUAGUAGCGAAGUAGCUGAUUUCACACUGUCAAGAAAAGUCUCUAUCGAGGUUAAAGGUACCCGUACCGCAAACC
Molecule: ribosomal RNA, 202 nt
Filed under: Clostridioides difficile
Lineage: Bacteria; Bacillati; Bacillota; Clostridia; Peptostreptococcales; Peptostreptococcaceae
Description: partial 23S ribosomal RNA
Rfam family: Bacterial large subunit ribosomal RNA
Source: RNAcentral